RNAcentral lists this ribosomal RNA (427 nucleotides) under uncultured bacterium. RNAcentral describes it as "partial 16S ribosomal RNA". It matches the Rfam family "Bacterial small subunit ribosomal RNA", at positions 355 to 774 of the family's 1533-position model. The record is from RNAcentral.
UGGGGAAUAUUGGACAAUGGGCGAAAGCCUGAUCCAGCCAUGCCGCCUGUGUGAAGAAGGUCUUCGGAUUGUAAAGCACUUUAAGUUGGGCGGAAGGGCAGUAAGCUAAUACCUUGCUGUUUUGACGUUACCGACAGAAUAAGCACCGGCUAACUCUGUGCCAGAAGCCGCGGUAAUACAGAGGGUGCAAGCGUUAAUCGGAAUUACUGGGCGUAAAGCGCGCGUAGGUGGUUUGUUAAGUUGGAUGUGAAAGCCCCGGGCUCAACCUGGGAACUGCAUCCAAAACUGGCAAGCUAGAGUACGGAAGAGGGUGGUGGAGUUUCCUGUGUAGCGGUGAAAUGCGUAGAUAUAGGAAGGAACACCAGUGGCGAAGGCGACCACCUGGACUGAUACUGACACUGAGGUGCGAAAGCGUGGGGAGCAAACA